Molecule: ribosomal RNA, 1463 nt
Filed under: metagenome
Description: bacterial SSU rRNA
Rfam family: Bacterial small subunit ribosomal RNA
Source: RNAcentral
AGAGUUUGAUCCUGGCUCAGGAUGAACGUUGGCGGCGUGCCUAACACAUGCAAGUCGAACGGUAGGUUUGUUUUCGAACGAACUGAGAGUGGCGAACGGGUGAGUAACAUGUAGCUGAUCUGCCCUCAAGAGUGGGAUAACUGCUGGAAACAGGAGCUAAUACCGCAUAAGCUCACAUGGAUUAGAAGAGUGUGAGAAAAGGAUUUAUUGCUUGAGGAGGAGGUUGCAACCCAUCAGCUAGUUGGUAAGGUAAAGGCUUACCAAGGCGACGACGGGUAGGGGACCUGAGAGGGUGACCCCCCACACUGGGACUGAGACACGGCCCAGACUCCUACGGGAGGCAGCAGUGAGGAAUAUUGCACAAUGGGCGCAAGCCUGAUGCAGCGACGCCGCGUGGGCGAAGAAGGUUUUCGGAUCGUAAAGCCCUUUUCUAUGUGACGAGGAAGGACGGUAGCAUAGGAAUAAGUGUCGGCUAACUACGUGCCAGCAGCCGCGGUAAAACGUAGGACGCAAACGUUAUCCGGAGUUACUGGGCGUAAAGCGCGUGCAGGCGGUUGAAUAAGUUACCUAUGAAAGCUCUCGGCUAAACUGGGAGAGGUUAGGCGAUACUGUUUGACUAGAGUGAGGUAGAGGCAAGUAGAAUUCCAGGUGUAGUGGUGAAAUGCGUAGAUAUCUGGAGGAAUACCAGUGGCGAAGGCGGCUUGCUGGGCCUCAACUGACGCUGAGACGCGAAAGCGUGGGUAGCGAACGGGAUUAGAAACCCCGGUAGUCCACGCUGUAAACGAUGUACAUUAGGCGUUCGUGUGCCUACGGGUAUGUGAGUGCCGAAGCAAACGCGAUAAAUGUACCGCCUGGGGAGUACGGUCGCAAGGCUAAAACUCAAAGGAAUUGACGGGGGCCCGCACAAGCAGCGGAGCGUGUGGUUUAAUUCGAGCCUACGCGAAGAACCUUACCUGGGUUUGACAUGAUAGUAGUACGGAAGCGAAAGCGGAAGGACCCUUCGGGGAGCUAUCACAGGUGCUGCAUGGUUGUCGUCAGCUCGUGCCGUGAGGUGUUCGGUUAAGUCCGCAAACGAGCGCAACCCUCGAUGUUAGUUAUACGUGUCUAACAUGACUGCCCGUGACAAACGGGAGGAAGGUGAGGAUGAUGUCAAAUCAGCAUGGCCUUUAUAUCCAGGGCUACACACACGCUACAAUGGUCGGUACAGUGGGUAGCGAAGCCGCGAGGUGGAGCCAAUCCUAAAAAGCCGAUCUCAGUUCGGAUUGCAGGCUGCAACUCGCCUGCAUAAAGUCGGAGUUGCUAGUAACCGCGUAUCAGCACGGCGCGGUGAAUACGUUCCCGGGCCUUGUACACACCGCCCGUCACGUCAUGGAAGCUGGUCACGCCUGAAGUCGGGAAGCUAACCUAACGGAGGCUACUGCCUAGGGCAGGAUUGGUGACUGGGACGAAGUCGUAACAAGGUA